UGGGGGAUAUUGCACGAUGGGCGAAAGCCUGAUGCAGCGACGCCGCGUGGGGGAUGAAGGCCUUCGGGUUGUAAACUUCUUUUGCUCUGAACAAGGCAUGCCUUUGGGGUGUGUUGAGUGUAGGGGUUGAUUAGCGCCGACUAACUACGUGCCAGCAGCCGCGGUAAUACGUAGGGCGCGAGCGUUGUCCGGAAUUAUUGGGCGUAAAGGGCUUGUAGGUGGCUGGUUGCGUCUGUCGUGAAAGCUCAUGGCUUAACUGUGGGUUUGCGGUGGGUACGGGCUGGCUUGAGUGCAGUAGGGGAGGCUGGAAUUCCUGGUGUAGCGGUGGAAUGCGCAGAUAUCAGGAGGAAUACCGGUGGCGAAGGCGGGUCUCUGGGCUGUUACUGACGCUGAGGAGCGAAAGCGUGGGGAGCGAACAGG
Molecule: ribosomal RNA, 420 nt
Filed under: Fusobacteriota bacterium
Lineage: Bacteria; Fusobacteriati; Fusobacteriota
Description: Fusobacteria bacterium partial 16S ribosomal RNA
Rfam family: Bacterial small subunit ribosomal RNA
Source: RNAcentral